AUUGAACGCUGGCGGCAGGCCUAACACAUGCAAGUCGAGCGGAUGAAGGGAGCUUGCUCCUGGAUUCAGCGGCGGACGGGUGAGUAAUGCCUAGGAAUCUACCUGGUAGUGGGGGAUAACGUCCGGAAACGGGCGCUAAUACCGCAUACGUCCUGAGGGAGAAAGUGGGGGAUCUUCGGACCUCACGCUAUCAGAUGAGCCUAGGUCGGAUUAGCUAGUUGGUGGGGUAAAGGCCUACCAAGGCGACGAUCCGUAACUGGUCUGAGAGGAUGAUCAGUCACACUGGAACUGAGACACGGUCCAGACUCCUACGGGAGGCAGCAGUGGGGAAUAUUGGACAAUGGGCGAAAGCCUGAUCCAGACAUGCCGCGUGUGUGAAGAAGGUCUUCGGAUUGUAAAGCACUUUAAGUUGGGAGGAAGGGCAGUAAGUUAAUACCUUGCUGUUUUGACGUUACCAACAGAAUAAGCACCGGCUAACUUCGUG
Molecule: ribosomal RNA, 484 nt
Filed under: uncultured bacterium
Lineage: Bacteria
Description: partial 16S ribosomal RNA
Rfam family: Bacterial small subunit ribosomal RNA
Source: RNAcentral